RNAcentral lists this transfer RNA (48 nucleotides) under Elatostema dissectum. RNAcentral describes it as "partial tRNA-Leu". The record is from RNAcentral. Lineage: Eukaryota; Viridiplantae; Streptophyta; Magnoliopsida; Rosales; Urticaceae.
AAUCCGUCGACUUUAAAAAUCGUGAGGGUUCAAGUCCCUUUUCCCCAG